GAUGAACGCUGGCGGCGUGCCUAAUACAUGCAAGUCGAGCGAACAGACGAUGAGCUUGUUCCUCUGACGUUAGCGGCGGACGGGUGAGUAACACGUGCAUAACCUACCUAUAAGACUGGGAUAACUUCGGGAAACCGGAGCUAAUACCGGAUAAUAUAUUGAACCGCAUGGUUCAAUAGUGAAAGACGGUUUUGCUGUCACUUAUAGCUGGAUCCGCGCCGCAUUAGCUAGUUGGUAAGGUAACGGCUUACCAAGGCAACGAUGCGUAGCCGACCUGAGAGGAUGAUCGGCCACACUGGAACUGAGACACGGUCCAGACUCCUACGGGAGGCAGCAGUAGGGAAUCUUCCGCAAUGGGCGAAAGCCUGACGGAGCAACGCCGCGUGAGUGAUGAAGGUCUUCGGAUCGUAAAACUCUGUUAUUAGGGAAGAACAAAUGUGUAAGUAACUAUGCACGUCUUGACGGUACCUAAUCAGAAAGCCCCGGCUAACUACGUG
This 497-nucleotide ribosomal RNA is filed under the name uncultured bacterium. RNAcentral describes it as "partial 16S ribosomal RNA". It matches the Rfam family "Bacterial small subunit ribosomal RNA", at positions 28 to 507 of the family's 1533-position model. The record is from RNAcentral.